Molecule: long non-coding RNA, 1233 nt
Filed under: Callithrix jacchus (white-tufted-ear marmoset)
Lineage: Eukaryota; Metazoa; Chordata; Mammalia; Primates; Cebidae
Description: lncRNA (ENSCJAG00000073464.1)
Source: RNAcentral
CCCAAAGCUUCCUUAUAACUGACUCAAGAAGGAAGAGAAAAACUUUAUAAAUGUGGGGUCUGAUAGUUUCCUCAAAAGCCCAUCAGGCAGCAGUGUUUUCCUAGACAGUCUUGUGGCUAAAGAUGCUUAGCCAGAGACUAGGGGAAGUGAAGUCUGAAAAAUGUACAGGAUGUUUAUUAUUUAAUUGUCAUAACUUGGAGAAUACGUUACUAAUGAUUAUCACUUGUUAUUCUAAAACUUUUUGACUUUCUUUAUGUUUUUUCUUUAACUCAGAAAAUUAUAGUAUUUAGGGACAGGGAAUAUUAUAUAUUUUCCACAGCUCAUGCCAUUACGUUUCUCAUAUUUGGAGGAACAGCAGAGGUUAUUCCUACAAGACACAAAAGCUAAACUACCAUGGAACCACCUUCCUGACCAAGGUACCUCCCUGCUCAUAGCUGUCAGGCUGUUUACAAUCAUCUUGGCUUUGAUGUCUGUCAAGAAUCCACACACAGAGAGAAGGUUGGGCGACCUGCUUGACAUGGUACCUCUUUGUGGAUACAAAGUGACUGACUUAACCAAGCAGAAGAGCAUGUUAGACAACGUGACAUGGAGUAGAAGACACACACUCAUCUGGUCUGAACCGUGGCUGAUUUUGGGUGUUAAAGGACAGUGUACACUUCUAUUCAGUUGUAUUUCUCAGAUACUUGCCCUCGAGGAGGGCCUCAGAUCUCAGGUGCUCUUUCUUUUACUAUCUAAGUUUGGAAUAAUCUCAAAUAGACCUGUGAGUAACUUCAGUUUUUCUUAUUAGUGAGUUUCCUGUAGCUUUGAUUCAGUGUCUUGAAAAUGUGCAGUCUACUGGGCUUUCUUGAACAUACUGAGCACAUCCAUGUUCCUCAAUUCUUCACAGCCCUGUUUGGAAGCACUGGUUAUAGUUUAUUUUUUAAUUCCAAGGAUUGUCACAAUUGUUGGCACUCAGUAAAAUUAAAUAACACCCAGGGGCAGUGAUGAGUCCUUAAACAGGACUCCUAAGACCUGCAUGCCUCAGGAUGUGUCCUCUGGGCAGCUGCUGGCUUGUCAUUGCUAACUUGAAGAAAACGGCACCCUGCUUCUCAGCAGCAGCUCCUGAGGGGCCAGGCUGUGCAGCGAAUCCCCACUUUCCCAGGAUCAUGGCUGCUGCUGGCCAUGAAAAGAUGUCUCUUAGGGUGGACAACUUUUAUCUUCUUGUGCUGUCAGUCAUGCAUUCCCGCCCAGUGA